GCCGGGAUGGCGGAAUGGUAGACGCGACGGACUCAAAAUCCGUUGGGCGCAAGCCCGUGGGGGUUCGAGUCCCCCUCCCGGUA
This 83-nucleotide transfer RNA is filed under the name Acidimicrobiia bacterium. RNAcentral describes it as "tRNA-Leu". It matches the Rfam family "tRNA". From Rfam's summary of the family: Transfer RNA (tRNA) molecules are approximately 80 nucleotides in length. The record is from RNAcentral. Lineage: Bacteria; Bacillati; Actinomycetota; Acidimicrobiia.